GGUCAAACAGACUCGAUAUGUAUUAGCGAAGAUGUGGCCCGACAUUUCAUUAGUGUUAGCAGUUUCUGAGUACAAAGUUCAGAAGUAAAUACGGUGGUUGCAUUCUAAUGCUCUGCCCUCUUAGGCUUGGGGGAAUCGCCAGCAGUGUUAAAGCCCAGGCACAGCAAAAACGAAAGAAAGCAUACAGAGGUGAAAGAAAGAUUCUGAGAAAAAAAAAUAGAAUAUCAGCAGAGCUGGUGGGAAUAAGAACAUCUGCAUAGCAUGCCCUGCCAUCAGCUGGGUAUCAGUCGAAAGAGUCCUAUAAAAUAAAAACAAUUUUCUGUUGUCUUUUUCUGCCCAAGCAAUCUCCCUCGUCAUCCCAUAACGCAUAGAGCUGAGACGAAAGUACACAUCAGAAGCGGGAAGAAAAAUAAAAAUAAAAAAAUACAAUGAAAAAAAUUUCCCGUUUAACUCAAGUCGUUCAGAGAUUGCCCUUUGAAGGAAACGCCACUCCCUCCGUAGCAUGAGUAUCUGUAAACCAGCUCACUUUCUCCGCACCAGCGGCAUUCACCAAAGCGCAUGGCAGACUCCUCCCGUCCUCUGUAUCAAAGAUCCGCCUCAUGAUGUCCUUCUUCCCUCCACCCGUCGCCACAAAAGCAAUUCUCAGCCCAUGUAUAACAACUGGCAGCGUGAGCGUAAUGCGCUUAGGUGGCGGCUUGGGCGAAUCCGAAAUUGGUGCGACCCAGGCGUCUGAUUCGCGAAGGAGUUCAUGGCCAGGGAACAGGCUGCAGGUAUGUCCAUCUGGGCCACAGCCGAGCAGAAGGAGGUCGAAGACGGGCAACUUCACGCUGUCCUUGGCAGCGAAGGAGUGCAUCAGUUCUUCCUGAUACUGGUCUGCUACUUCCUGCGGAUCAUCGUCAGAGAUAUGUGUAAUAUCGAUUGGGUGGACUAUAGGCGUUCCGAGCUCUGGGGGGAUCUUAUCGAGUAGUUCAGUCUUUACGAGGCGAUAAUUGCUGUCUUCGUGAUCUAGUGGUACGACUCGUUCAUCGGCAAAGAAGAUCUCCCAUGAGGAAAAUCGGGGGCUGUCUUCUUCACUGCCGUUGGUGGGGGCGAGGAGUGCCUUGGCAAGGACAGCUGGCAGCGAGCCACCAGAGACGGCGACGCGGAAAACGUCAUGUCUGGCAAUGGCUGUGUUCUGGGACUUCAGGACAUAUUUCCGAAGCUGUGUUGCAAGAACGUCGGUGUCAGGGAAUACGUAGAGGUUUGGAGAACCCCCCAUGGCUGAACUGGCUGAAUUGGAGUUGAGGCGGGGUAGAUGAAGCAAGCAGUGGGGUAUAGAUAUAAGACGGCGAGCAAACCUGGAACGAUGCUGUGUGAAGCGAGACAGUCUGACAGGGUCGUUUUGAGCAACGGUGUAUCGUCAGGUUAAUUGGAAGAGGGUGGCCUGAGGACAGUGCCCAUGUUUUUGGC
RNAcentral lists this small RNA (1449 nucleotides) under Histoplasma capsulatum. RNAcentral describes it as "hypothetical RNA". The record is from RNAcentral. RNAcentral also lists the same sequence under 1 other name. Lineage: Eukaryota; Fungi; Ascomycota; Eurotiomycetes; Onygenales; Ajellomycetaceae.